RNAcentral lists this ribosomal RNA (503 nucleotides) under Boophis sp. 24 MV-2009. RNAcentral describes it as "partial 16S ribosomal RNA". It matches the Rfam family "Bacterial large subunit ribosomal RNA", at positions 1926 to 2597 of the family's 2925-position model. Lineage: Eukaryota; Metazoa; Chordata; Amphibia; Anura; Mantellidae. The record is from RNAcentral.
AACGGCCGCGGUACUCUAACCGUGCAAAGGUAGCACAAUAACUUGUUCUUUAAAUGAGGACUAGAAUCAACGGCACCACGAGAAUCAUACUGUCUCCCUACUCCAAUCAGUGAAACUGACUUCCCGUGAAGAAGCGGGAAUAUAACUAUAAGACGAGAAGACCCCAUGGAGCUUUAAACCCAACAACACCCAUUUAUUUUUUACCCACACAUUUACUAGGCUCUGUUUGUUUGGUUUUAGGUUGGGGUGACCAUGGAGUAAAAAAUAGCCUCCAAGAAAAAUGGACCAGCAAUCCUUAACAAAGAACUACAAUUCUAAGAAUUAAUAUAUUAAUUUUUAAUGAUCCGAUAUUUGAUCAACGAACCAAGUUACCCUGGGGAUAACAGCGCAAUCCACUUUAAGAGCCCAUAUCGACAAGUGGGUUUACGACCUCGAUGUUGGAUCAGGGUAUCCUAGUGGUGCAGCAGCUACUAAUGGUUCGUUUGUUCAACGAUUAAAACCCU